Eleginops maclovinus (Patagonian blennie) is the source of this 611-nucleotide long non-coding RNA. RefSeq lists it as uncharacterized. Lineage: Eukaryota; Metazoa; Chordata; Actinopteri; Perciformes; Eleginopidae. The record is from RefSeq and is a predicted model, not a curated record. The transcript is spliced from 3 exons.
GCAGCUCCUCUCAGGGGAAGUACCGGGCUUGUCGCGGCAACAUCCUCGCAUUAACACCGUUCAAAAACACGUGGUUCUUUUUAUCUCCAAAACCGCGGUUGUAAUCCAGGAUUUCGGCUUUUUUUUAAAUCUGAAAUUGGUGUUUUAUCCACUCAAAACGGUGUUGCUAGUAUGUUGUGGUAUGUCUCCAGACAGUGGAAGCUUUUUUUCGGCGUCUCUGUUGGCUAACAAGUCCUCCGGUGCAUCUCCCCGGCAGCUCCACAACAACCCCCGAUCUGGUCAGCCGCUGGUCGGGUAAAUCACUGCCUCCUCCGUAACAGUGAAUACAUCUCUACAACGUUAAAAAGACAGAAAAGCGUGUCCACAUUUCGCAUGGAGAGGGUGAGGAUACAGGUCGAGGAGUGAAAACGGGAGACAAUGGGAACCGGGAUGGACCAACGGACCGAGAGAGACAGCCGCCAGGAGCGUCUCACGCCUGCCAUCUGUCAAGUCAAAAAACACACAAAACCGAAGCUGUUCCGGUGUCGCUGCCUCCUGCCCACUUGAUGCAGCUGAUGUUCCGCUCGGCAGGGGAGCGGCGGGGCUCUUUUCACUCACUGAGACACACAAAC